This 619-nucleotide long non-coding RNA is filed under the name Cyanistes caeruleus (blue tit). Its description in RNAcentral is "lncRNA (ENSCCEG00000000177.1)". Lineage: Eukaryota; Metazoa; Chordata; Aves; Passeriformes; Paridae. The record is from RNAcentral.
AUGACUCCUAUUGAAGAAUUAAAGAUGCCCCUUUUACCCAAAGGGAAGAACUGGUUCCAUCAUACCUGCACAAGACCUUAUGGAGACUUUGCCCGUGAAGAUGAAAUGAAGGAAAUGCUCAGGCUCAAUGUGUGUUCAGCUCAUCUCUCUGCCCUUGCUCAUGUUUUACUCAUCCUGGCACCGCAGGUUUGUGCCAACUACUUUGGGUUGAACCAGCUGCAGCCCCAUUCUCAUCCUCCCUUCCAUGGCACAGGCAGCAGCAGGAAUUUCAGCAUGGGGCCAUGCAUUUAGCCACCAGCAGCAUAAAAUCCAUUCUUCUGGUUCAGCACUGUGGGAACUGAUCAAUGGUCAAAUAGAUUUUUAGGCUUCAGGCAUUAGCUUGAGCCUGUGUGAAACUUGUUCUCACUCUGGCAUGAGAAAUCAUAAGGAGGAAUCCAAGCAGUCCUUAGAGACGGAAAACCACCUCUGUAGGUGUUGUUUGGAUCCUUGUUUGCUUGCAAGAAACAGUCAAGGGGUGGUGUUCCCAAUUGUCCAGUGAUGGUGAUGUUUUACCUUUCAGACCUUCUCGGAACUGUCUAUAAAAGAAGAUCUGGAAAAAUAAAACUUGCUCUCUUUUGCA